GUGGCAGACGGGUGAGUAAAGUAUCGGAACGUACCUUUCAGUGGGGGAUAACGUAGCGAAAGUUACGCUAAUACCGCAUAUUCUGUGAGCAGGAAAGCAGGGGAUCGCAAGACCUUGCGCUGAUUGAGCGGCCGAUAUCAGAUUAGCUAGUUGGUGGGGUAAAGGCCUACCAAGGCGACGAUCUGUAGCGGGUCUGAGAGGAUGAUCCGCCACACUGGAACUGAGACACGGUCCAGACUCCUACGGGAGGCAGCAGUGGGGAAUUUUGGACAAUGGGGGCAACCCUGAUCCAGCCAUGCCGCGUGAGUGAAGAAGGCCUUCGGGUUGUAAAGCUCUUUCGGCCGGGAAGAAAUCGCACAGGCUAAUACCCUGUGUGGAUGACGGUACCGGAAUAAGAAGCACCGGCUAACUACGUGCCAGCAGCCGCGGUAAUACGUAGGGUGCGAGCGUUAAUCGGAAUUACUGGGCGUAAAGCGUGCGCAGGCGGUUUCGUAAGACAGAGGUGAAAUCCCCGGGCUCAACCUGGGAACUGCCUUUGUGACUGCGAGGCUAGAGUACGGCAGAGGGGGGUGGAAUUCCACGUGUAGCAGUGAAAUGCGUAGAGAUGUGGAGGAACACCGAUGGCGAAGGCAGCCCCCUGGGCCGAUACUGACGCUCAUGCACGAAAGCGUGGGUAGCCAAACAGGAUUAGAUACCCCUGGUAGUCCAACGCCCUAAACGAUGUCAACUAGGUGUUGGGUGGGUAAAACCAUUUAGUACCGUAGCUAACGCGUGAAGUUGACCGCCUGGGGAGUACGGCCGCAAGGUUAAAACUCAAAGGAAUUGACGGGGACCCGCACAAGCGGUGGAUGAUGUGGAUUAAUUCGAUGCAACGCGAAAAACCUUACCUACCCUUGACAUGUCCAGAAAGCCGGAGAGAUUUGGGUGUGCCCGAAAGGGAGCUGGAACACGGUUGCUGCAUGGCUGUCGUCAGCUCGUGUCGUGAGAUGUUGGGUUAAGUCCCGCAACGARCGCAACCCUUGUCGUUAAUUGCCAUCAUUUAGUUGGGCACUUUAACGAGACUGCCGGUGACAAACCGGAGGAAGGUGGGGAUGACGUCAAGUCCUCAUGGCCCUUAUGGGUAGGGCUCACACGUCAUACAAUGGUCGGUACAGAGGGUUGCCAAGCCGCGAGGUGGAGCCAAUCCCAGAAAGCCGAUCGUAGUCCGGAUUGCAGGCUGCAACUCGCCUGCAUGAAGUCGGAAUCGCUAGUAAUCGCGGAUCAGCAUGUCGCGGUGAAUACGUUCCCGGGUCUUGUACACACCGCCCGUCACACCAUGGGAGCGGGUUCCGCCAGAAGUAGGUAGCCUAACCGCAAGGGGGGCGCUU
This 1367-nucleotide ribosomal RNA is filed under the name perchlorate-reducing bacterium PMC. RNAcentral's name for it is "16S ribosomal RNA". It matches the Rfam family "Bacterial small subunit ribosomal RNA", at positions 95 to 1455 of the family's 1533-position model. Lineage: Bacteria; Pseudomonadati; Pseudomonadota; Betaproteobacteria; Rhodocyclales; Rhodocyclaceae. The record is from RNAcentral.